This 441-nucleotide ribosomal RNA is filed under the name uncultured bacterium. RNAcentral's name for it is "partial 16S ribosomal RNA". It matches the Rfam family "Bacterial small subunit ribosomal RNA", at positions 338 to 795 of the family's 1533-position model. The record is from RNAcentral.
CCUACGGGUGGCAGCAGUGGGGAAUAUUGCACAAUGGGGGAAACCCUGAUGCAGCAACGCCGCGUGAAGGAAGACGGUUUUCGGAUUGUAAACUUCUGUUCUUAGUGAAGAAUAAUGACGCUAGCUCAGGAGCAAGCCACGCCUAACUACGUGCCAGCAGCCGCGGUAAUACGUAGGUGGCAAGCGUUGUCCGGAAUUACUGGGUGUAAAGGGCGUGUAGGCGGGAAAGCAAGUCAGAGGUGAAAACCAUGGGCUCAACCUGUGGCCUGCAUUUGAAACUGUUUUUCUUGAGUACUGGAGAGGCAGACGGAAUUCCUAGUGUAGCGGUGAAAUGCGUAGAUAUUAGGAGGAACACCAGUGGCGAAGGCGGUCUGCUGGACAGCAACUGACGCUGAGGCGCGAAAGCGUGGGGAGCAAACAGGAUUAGAUACCCUUGUAGUC